UAAAAUAUUCAAAGAUUGUCUACUAAACACUUUUGGGGUCUAUCUAGAAUGUAGCCUGGUCUUAAUCUAAAUGAUAUGUUACUCUCAGGGUAAGAUCUUCAUUGAUUGGCAGCUUUUAUGGUAAGAAGUCAUAGUGAACAAAUAAGAGGUAAAGCUCGUAUGAUAAUUAACUAUAAAGAUUAAAUGAUAACACCAGAACAAAUGCAUACAAACUACCAGAUAAAAGUGAAUUAAUU
RNAcentral lists this long non-coding RNA (236 nucleotides) under Capsicum annuum. RNAcentral describes it as "long non-coding RNA (CANN_LNC018328)". Lineage: Eukaryota; Viridiplantae; Streptophyta; Magnoliopsida; Solanales; Solanaceae. The record is from RNAcentral.